CUGGGCUGGCUGUCAUUUCAGGUCACCAUGGAUUCUGUUCAUUCAGGAGGAGGUGGUUUUCCUGAAGUUCCAAACGCAGUGCUGCAUGGAGAACAGGAUUCUGCUUGUCUGUGAGGGCUGUGAGCUGCUGUCCUGGCUGCAGAGGCAUUAGAAGAGUUGAAACGAUUCUGCUAAUCUGCAAGGCUUGGAAGUGUUAUGAAGUAUUUCUUUGAUUAAAACCAGACGGACUCUUUAGAUGCUCGGAGAGGACACAAAUGCUGAAGGAGAAAAUGACGCAGGAGGGCAGCAGCUUUCAAGGUCUGUGGGAUGUACUAUGAAUCACAGUGUUGAAUGAAAGAUAAAGAAGGUCUUAAGUCCUGGAAGUGAAGAAAUACACUGUAUGUGAUGCAAGAGGCCAGCAAUAGCAGCUUUCUGCAGCUGAGACUCCCAGGAGUGGUCCUGUUUUUGCUCAGAGCAGUGGG
Long non-coding RNA from Gallus gallus (chicken), 461 nucleotides. The record is from Ensembl. NCBI's taxonomy places the organism in Eukaryota, Metazoa, Chordata, Aves, Galliformes, Phasianidae.